CCUACGGGUGGCAGCAGUGAGGAAUAUUGGUCAAUGGGCGCGAGCCUGACCCAGCAACGUCGCGUGAGGGAAGACGGUCCUAGGGUUGUAAACUCUCUUUUAUCGGGGAGAGAAAGAGCCCACGCGUGGCGUUCCAAGAGUACCCGAAGAAAAAGCAUCUGCUAACUCCGUGACAGCAGCCGCGGUAAUACGGAGGACGCGAGCGUUAUCCGGAUGUAUUGGGUUUAAAGGGUGCGCAGGCGGAAGAUCAAGUCAGCGGUAAAAUUGAGAGGCUCAACCUCUUCGAGCCGUUGAAACUGGUUUUCUUGAGUGAGCGAGAAGUAUGCGGAAUGCGUGGUGUAGCGGUGAAAGGCAUAGAUAGCACGCAGAACUCCGAUUGCGAAGGCAGCAUACCGGCGCUCAACUGACGCUCAUGCACGAAAGUGUGGGUAUCGAACAGGAUUAGAUACCCUUGUAGUC
RNAcentral lists this ribosomal RNA (459 nucleotides) under uncultured bacterium. RNAcentral describes it as "partial 16S ribosomal RNA". It matches the Rfam family "Bacterial small subunit ribosomal RNA", at positions 338 to 795 of the family's 1533-position model. The record is from RNAcentral.